Long non-coding RNA from Zonotrichia leucophrys gambelii, 1574 nucleotides. RefSeq lists it as uncharacterized. The transcript has 4 exons. The record is from RefSeq and is a predicted model, not a curated record. Lineage: Eukaryota; Metazoa; Chordata; Aves; Passeriformes; Passerellidae.
AGCGGGAUGCGACAUCGCCUCCCUCUCGGAGGCGCCUCCAUCGCCGCGGUAAGACAGUGGGGAGAGCCGAUGCUGGUCUGCACCCCGGCGCCUUUCCAGGGCGGUGUCGCCUGCUCAGAACUCCUUCUCCGUGGAUGGCCGAAUCUGUAGCCUCGCGUCUGCGGCAGAGUCAGUACGCGGCCGCUGCGCUGCGGGAAGAGGUGGAGGCGGCGCACGGCGUACCCCCUCCUUUUCGGGAGGGAUGGUUCGCCCCGCGGGAGGCACGCCGGGAGCGGCACGGCGUCCGCGGCUGCUGAGGGAGCAGCGGUGUGAGGCUGUGGUUAUUGGCGCUGCUUGUCUUCGAAAUCGGGCACUUACCUCUAAUGAAAGCAAUGGAAGUUGGUCAGUGGCCGGAGCGUGCACCACCAUGACCAAGAGGUGUCCCAGGAUCAUGGUUCCUGGUGUGUUUUGCUGGAAGUUUGGGAUCUCUCUGUGUGGUGAAGGCCUCUGAGCUUGAGAAAGGCACGUGGGAAGAAGCUGCCAAGUGCUGAUUGCAGAGCUGUGAUUAGCAAUAAUUCCUUGUGCAACUCUGUCCUGUAGCUUGCUGUUAAAAUAAAGCAGGCUUUCUGCUGAGCAGGAGGCACAAUGACUUUAGAGCAGAAAUCAGAACUUAAACAGUGAGUGAGAUCUGCCUGAUGGCUAUAUUCUUAUCAAAAAGAGCAAAGUGGAAGAUACAGAAUAAAAAUGUUGGUGUGGGUGGCUUUGUUAAAUCAGUAUGUGGCUGCCAGUGUGUUCAAGACAAGGACUUGCUUUCUCAUGUUUGCUUUUAGGGGUGUGAUAUUGUGGAGCAUUUCAGAACAUAAAGGUUGAAAAUGUUAAAAAGACUGGCAAAAUAUGAAAGAAAGCUUUGAAUAUACCAGAUACUGCUUCACUGUAAAGUCUUGGAAAAGCCAACACUACUGAAAAGCUGAGUAGCGCAAGUCAGCCCAAAUUUCAUUAGUACAGACAAGGUAUUAGUAAAAAUCACAUGCACUAUCAAGUCUUUUUUUUUUGUAACCUACAUACCCAAGGGUGUGACAUGUAAUCCAAGUCUCUGAAGCCAGGAACUUAUAGGUCAAUACUGGAAAUCUGGUGUUAGAAUGAUCCUGUACUACAUCGCUGUAGAUUUUGUUUGGGUUGGGUUUUUUUCAGGAGAAAAUACAACUAAUCUUCAGUGAAGUGAUGAAACUCCUCCAGGGUGGCCAUAAUGCUCUUGAAAGUAAUAACAUCUGAAAGUUUCAUCAACGAAAUGUGAGAAUCUGCUUGAGCAACACAGAUGCAAUGAAUCCUUUACCCCUGCUGCUGGUAGGAAGUGAGCCUGUGAAAUCCAUCCACACAUACUGCACCCCAGGCACUGUAGGAAGAAUUGCUAGAACCAGCCUGAGAGCAAUGCCCGUCUAUUGAAACACUCCUGCCUAAGAAACAAACAAACUGUUUAAAAGAUGGACUACUAAGCCUCCAUGUAGUAAUACAAAGUGCAUUUAACUGCAUUGUGUCAGUGUCUGGUAAUGUUUAUAUAGACAAAAAAAUAAAGAUUUAUGUUUCUCUUCUCAGAA